RNAcentral lists this ribosomal RNA (489 nucleotides) under uncultured Methanosaeta sp. RNAcentral's name for it is "bacterial SSU rRNA". It matches the Rfam family "Archaeal small subunit ribosomal RNA", at positions 849 to 1338 of the family's 1478-position model. The record is from RNAcentral. Lineage: Archaea; Methanobacteriati; Methanobacteriota; Methanomicrobia; Methanotrichales; Methanotrichaceae.
CAGAAACUCAAAGGAAUUGGACGGGGAGCACUACAACGGGUGGAGCCUGCGGUUUAAUUGGAUUCAACGCCGGAAAUCUCACCGGGGCGACAGCAAUAUGAAGGUCAGGCUGAAGACCUUACCCGAUUAGCUGAGAGGUGGUGCAUGGCCGUCGUCAGUUCGUACUGUGAAGCAUCCUGUUAAGUCAGGCAACGAGCGAGACCCACGUCCACAGUUGCCAGCAUACCCUCCGGGGUGAUGGGUACACUGUGGAGACCGCCGCUGCUAAAGCGGAGGAAGGAGUGGGCAACGGUAGGUCAGUAUGCCCCGAAUCUCCCGGGCUACACGCGGGCUACAAUGGUUGGUACAAUGGGCAUCUACCCCGAAAGGGGAAGGAAAUCUCUUAAAGCCAAUCGUAGUUCGGAUUGAGGGCUGCAACUCGCCCUCAUGAAGCUGGAAUCCGUAGUAAUCGCGUUUCAACAGAACGCGGUGAAUACGUCCCUGCUCCUU